RNAcentral lists this long non-coding RNA (207 nucleotides) under Ictidomys tridecemlineatus (thirteen-lined ground squirrel). Its description in RNAcentral is "lncRNA (ENSSTOG00000031906.1)". Lineage: Eukaryota; Metazoa; Chordata; Mammalia; Rodentia; Sciuridae. The record is from RNAcentral.
AAAGUGAAAAGAUGAGAACAAGACAAAUAUCUGUUGGCGCUAUCCUUUUCAUCUGCAGUAUCAUCAGCUAAACCAACUCAUCUUGAUCCGCAGGAGCCCUGGAACUACCCUGCAGCUCAACAGAGGACACUGGUCAUGUGAAAAACAUUCAUGAGAUCUGUAUGAAGACCAAGAAAGUACUUUGAACCAUCUUCAGGUCUGAACCUU